GACGUAGGGCGCGAGCGUUGUCCGGAUUUAUUGGGCGUAAAGAGCUCGUAGGCGGCUUGUUGCGUCAGCUGUGAAAACCCGCAGCUCAACUGUGGGCUUGCAGCUGAUACGGGCAGGCUUGAGUUCGGUAGGGGAGACUGGAAUUCCUGGUGUAGCGGUGAAAUGCGCAGAUAUCAGGAGGAACGCCGGUGGCGAAGGCGGGUCUCUGGACCGAUACUGACGCUGAGGAGCGAAAGCGUGGGGAGCGAACAGG
RNAcentral lists this ribosomal RNA (253 nucleotides) under uncultured bacterium. RNAcentral's name for it is "partial 16S ribosomal RNA". It matches the Rfam family "Bacterial small subunit ribosomal RNA", at positions 524 to 776 of the family's 1533-position model. The record is from RNAcentral.